AUUGAACGCCGGCGGCAUGCCUUACACAUGCAAGUCGAACGCGAAAGCGGGGCAACCCGCAAGUAGAGUGGCGAACGGGUGAGUAAUACAUCGGAACGUACCCAGUAGCGGGGGAUAACCUCUCGAAAGAGAGGCUAAUACCGCAUACGACCUACGGGUGAAAGAGGGGGAUCGCAAGACCCCUCACUAUUGGAGCGGCCGAUGUCGGAUUAGCUAGUUGGUGGGGUAACGGCCUACCAAGGCGACGAUCCGUAGCUGGUCUGAGAGGACGGCCAGCCACACUGGAGCUGAGACACGGUCCAGACUCCUACGGGAGGCAGCAGUGGGGAAUUUUGGACAAUGGGCGAAAGCCUGAUCCAGCCAUGCCGCGUGAGUGAAGAAGGCC
RNAcentral lists this ribosomal RNA (385 nucleotides) under uncultured bacterium. Its description in RNAcentral is "bacterial SSU rRNA". It matches the Rfam family "Bacterial small subunit ribosomal RNA", at positions 29 to 416 of the family's 1533-position model. The record is from RNAcentral.